CCCUUAGAUGUCCUGGGCCGCACGCGUGCUACACUGACACUUACACCGAGUUUUUCCAAUGCCGAAAGGCCAUUGGUAAUCAGCAAUAAGUGUCGUGAUGGGGAUAGAUCUUUGGAAUUAUUGAUCUUGAACGAGGAAUGCCUAGUAAUCGUAGGUCAUCAGCCUGCGAUGAUUACGUCCCUGCCCUUUGUACACACCGCCCGUCGCACCUACCGAUUGAAUGGUCCGGUGAAAUUUCGGGACUGAUCGUUUGGUGGUUCAUUCUGCCUUACGAUCGGGAACUUACUUAAACCUUAUCAUUUAGAGGAAGGUGAAGUCGUANCA
Molecule: ribosomal RNA, 324 nt
Filed under: uncultured eukaryote
Lineage: Eukaryota
Description: partial 18S ribosomal RNA
Rfam family: Eukaryotic small subunit ribosomal RNA
Source: RNAcentral